This is a long non-coding RNA of Coturnix japonica (Japanese quail), 817 nucleotides long. RefSeq lists it as uncharacterized. Lineage: Eukaryota; Metazoa; Chordata; Aves; Galliformes; Phasianidae. The record is from RefSeq and is a predicted model, not a curated record.
UGUACCAGGUAGUACCUACCUUACAGUAGGUACUUGUAAUCUGCCUUCCAAGGCUUUUGUGUACCUUCCUGUUAAAUGUUACUUGGAAUCAACAAAUGAAGCUGGAUGCAACUCCAUCCUUUUAUGCAGUUAUUAUCUCCACAGGCCAGAUUGUACGUGUCUCCCAGCAUACUCCUUACAGCAGUUUCCAUCACCCAUGAGCCCCUUGUUAUCACCGGUGUGCCUGCAUACCCACAUAUGUUCAAAAUGAAGCUACUGACUGCCAGCUCUGGGGAAAUAUUCAAAGGAGAAAAGAGCAGCUAACUAUAUAACUCCCACUGAGAGUCAGAAUGGGUGAGAACUUAGAAUACCAUAUCAUUAUGUAAGAGCAGUAAAAGAGCAAACGUCCAAACUACUUCCUGGGCUCCUGAGUUCUGAAUUAUUGCAAUGAGAUAUAAAACUCAGAAUGAGACAAAUGAAGAGAUGAGAAUCAUGUAUAAGCUUUUAUCUCCAGUUGGCUUCAGGAGGAGAUGCACAUGCCACGUAUAACAGCAGGCUGUGGGCCAUCCAGAUGUGAGAGUAGAGAAUUGAAGGAUCCGUCAGUGUGUUAUGACUCACAGGAAAUGGCACUUUGAAUGAUCUCCUUGCAGUUCAGCAUUGUGUGAGGACUGAACGGACGUGAAUCUACGGUUUGUUGGGAAUCAUUGUCAGAAAGUAAAGAAAGCCACACAGGUAGGCACUCAGGCAUUCUAGAAGCACUUACUUUCAUUUGUUAACAUUGGUUUUUAUUAGUUUCCAAGUUGCUUGGAAAUUUUCUUUGCAUUAUUUAUAUCUUAAG